Molecule: ribosomal RNA, 254 nt
Filed under: uncultured bacterium
Lineage: Bacteria
Description: partial 16S ribosomal RNA
Rfam family: Bacterial small subunit ribosomal RNA
Source: RNAcentral
UACGUAGGGUGCGAGCGUUGUCCGGAAUUAUUGGGCGUAAAGAGCUCGUAGGCGGUCUGUCGCGUCUGCUGUGAAAUCCCGAGGCUCAACCUCGGGCUUGCAGUGGGUACGGGCAGGCUAGAGUGCGGUAGGGGAGAAUGGAACUCCUGGUGUAGCGGUGGAAUGCGCAGAUAUCAGGAGGAACACCGAUGGCGAAGGCAGAUCUCUGGGCCGUUACUGACGCUGAGGAGCGAAAGCGUGGGGGAGCGAACAGG